RNAcentral lists this transfer RNA (75 nucleotides) under Veillonella seminalis ACS-216-V-Col6b. RNAcentral describes it as "tRNA-Asn". It matches the Rfam family "tRNA". From Rfam's summary of the family: Transfer RNA (tRNA) molecules are approximately 80 nucleotides in length. Lineage: Bacteria; Bacillati; Bacillota; Negativicutes; Veillonellales; Veillonellaceae. The record is from RNAcentral. RNAcentral also lists the same sequence under 3 other names.
UGCCUAGUAGCACAAUGGUAGUGCAGUCGGCUGUUAACCGACCGGUUAUAGGUUCGAAUCCUAUCUAGGCAGCCA